This 472-nucleotide ribosomal RNA is filed under the name uncultured bacterium. RNAcentral describes it as "bacterial SSU rRNA". It matches the Rfam family "Bacterial small subunit ribosomal RNA", at positions 329 to 793 of the family's 1533-position model. The record is from RNAcentral.
GGCCAGACUCCUACGGGAGGCAGCAGUAGGGAAUUUUCGUCAAUGGGCGCAAGCCUGAACGAGCAAUGCCGCGUGAACGAGGAAGGUCUUCGGAUCGUAAAGUUCUGUUGAAGGGGAAAAAGAGCGGAGAGAGGAAAUGGUCUCCGAUUGAUAUUACCCUUCGAGGAAGUCACGGCUAACUACGUGCCAGCAGCCGCGGUAAUACGUAGGUGGCAAGCGUUAUCCGGAUUUACUGGGUGUAAAGGGCGUGUAGGCGGGGAAGCAAGUCAGAUGUGAAAACCACGGGCUCAACCUGUGGCCUGCAUUUGAAACUGUUUUUCUUGAGUACUGGAGAGGCAGACGGAAUUCCUAGUGUAGCGGUGAAAUGCGUAGAUAUUAGGAGGAACACCAGUGGCGAAGGCGGCUUACUGGACUGUAACUGACGUUGAGGCUCGAAAGCGUGGGGAGCAAACAGGAUUAGAUACCCGAGUAC